AGAAGCUGUUCGAUGGACAGAGAUGAUUCGGGCAUCACGAGAAAAUCCAGCCAUGCAGGAAAAAAAAAGGUCAAGCAUUUGGCAGUUUUUCAGCCGACUUUUCAGCUCCUCGAGUAACACGACUAAGAAGCCUGAACCACCUGUUAAUCUGAAGUACAAUGCACCCACGUCUCAUGUUACUCCAUCCGUCAAGAAAAGAAGCAGCACCUUAUCUCAGCUCCCUGGGGAUAAGUCCAAAGCCUUUGAUUUCCUUAGUGAAGAGUAAGUCUUUUCCAAGUUAAUCAUUAUAUUC
RNAcentral lists this small RNA (292 nucleotides) under Pongo abelii (Sumatran orangutan). Its description in RNAcentral is "retained intron". Lineage: Eukaryota; Metazoa; Chordata; Mammalia; Primates; Hominidae. The record is from RNAcentral.